UACGAAGGGGGCUAGCGUUGCUCGGAAUCACUGGGCGUAAAGCGCACGUAGGCGGCUUUUUAAGUCAGGGGUGAAAUCCUGGAGCUCAACUCCAGAACUGCCUUUGAUACUGAGAAGCUUGAGUUCGGGAGAGGUGAGUGGAGCUGCGAGUGUAGAGGUGAAAUUCGUAGAUAUUCGCAAGAACACCAGUGGCGAAGGCGGCUCACUGGCCCGAUACUGACGCUGAGGUGCGAAAGCGUGGGGAGCAAACAGG
Molecule: ribosomal RNA, 253 nt
Filed under: uncultured bacterium
Lineage: Bacteria
Description: partial 16S ribosomal RNA
Rfam family: Bacterial small subunit ribosomal RNA
Source: RNAcentral